CCAACGGCCCUUUUCAGGGCCAUUAAUGUAGUGGAAAAGAGUUAG
Non-coding RNA from Aedes aegypti (yellow fever mosquito), 45 nucleotides. Lineage: Eukaryota; Metazoa; Arthropoda; Insecta; Diptera; Culicidae. The record is from Rfam.